This 253-nucleotide ribosomal RNA is filed under the name uncultured bacterium. RNAcentral's name for it is "partial 16S ribosomal RNA". It matches the Rfam family "Bacterial small subunit ribosomal RNA", at positions 524 to 776 of the family's 1533-position model. The record is from RNAcentral.
UACGUAGGGUGCAAGCGUUAAUCGGAAUUACUGGGCGUAAAGCGUACGCAGGCGGCUUUGCAAGACAGGUGUGAAAUCCCCGGGCCUAACCUGGGAACUGCAUUUGUGACUGCAUGGCUAGAGUUUGUCAGAGGGGGGUGGAAUUCCACGUGUAGCAGUGAAAUGCGUAGAUAUCUGGAGGAACACCGGUGGCGAAGGCGGCAUCCUGGACCAACACUGACGCUGAGGAGCGAAAGCCAGGGGAGCAAACGGG